RNAcentral lists this ribosomal RNA (433 nucleotides) under uncultured bacterium. RNAcentral's name for it is "partial 16S ribosomal RNA". It matches the Rfam family "Bacterial small subunit ribosomal RNA", at positions 29 to 507 of the family's 1533-position model. The record is from RNAcentral.
AACGAACGCUGGCGGCAUGCCUAACACAUGCAAGUCGAACGAGACCUUCGGGUCUUGUGGCGCACGGGUGCGUAACGCGUGGGAACCUGCCCUUAGGUUCGGAAUAACUCCCCGACAGGGGUGCUAAUACCGGAUAAUGUCUUCGGACCAAAGAUUUAUCGCCUUUGGAUGGUCCCGCGUUGGAUUAGCUAGUUGGUAGGGUAAAAGCAUACCAGGGCGACGAUCCAUAGCUGGUCUGAGAGACUGAUCAGCCACACUGGGACUGAGACACGGCCCAGACUCCUACGGGAGGCAGCAGUGGGGAAUAGUGGACAAUGGGCGAAAGCAUGAACCAGCAAUGACGCGUGAGUGAUGAAGGCAUUAGGGUUGUAAAGCUCUAUUACCCGGGAUGAUAAUGACAGUACCGGGAGAAUAAGCUCCGGCUAACUCCGUG